GACGAACGCUGGCGGCGUGCUUAACACAUGCAAGUCGAACGCUGAAGCUCAGCUUUUGUUGGGUGGAUGAGUGGCGAACGGGUGAGUAACACGUGAGUAACCUGCCUCCUUCUUUGGGAUAACGCCCGGAAACGGGUGCUAAUACUGGAUAUUCACUGGUCUUCGCAUGGGGGUUGGUGGAAAGGGUUUUUUGGUGGGGGAUGGGCUCGCGGCCUAUCAGCUUGUUGGUGGGGUGAUGGCCUACCAAGGCUUUGACGGGUAGCCGGCCUGAGAGGGUGACCGGUCACAUUGGGACUGAGAUACGGCCCAGACUCCUACGGGAUGCAGCAGUGGGGAAUAUUGCACAAUGGGCGCAAGCUUGAUGCAGCGACGCCGCGUGAGGGAUGGAGGCCUUCGGGUUGUGAACCUCUUUCGCUCAUGGUCAAGCCGCAACAAUGGUUGUGGUGAGGGUAGUGGGUAAAGAAGCGCCGGCUAACUACGUG
RNAcentral lists this ribosomal RNA (482 nucleotides) under uncultured bacterium. Its description in RNAcentral is "partial 16S ribosomal RNA". It matches the Rfam family "Bacterial small subunit ribosomal RNA", at positions 28 to 507 of the family's 1533-position model. The record is from RNAcentral.